Molecule: ribosomal RNA, 527 nt
Filed under: uncultured bacterium
Lineage: Bacteria
Description: bacterial SSU rRNA
Rfam family: Bacterial small subunit ribosomal RNA
Source: RNAcentral
AGGCAUUAGUAUCUGAACUCUGGUAGUCUGGCGUCUGAUGUCUGGGUCUAGUGGCGGACGGGUGAGUAACACGUAGGUAAUCUACCCUCAAGACGGGGACAACCCAGGGAAACUUGGGCUAAUACCGGAUGUGUGUAGUGGCUAUUUUUCUGAUUAUCAUUAUUUACGUAAGUGAGUAAUAAUAAGAAGGGAAAGUGGUUACUACAUAAAAGGUGGCGUAAGCUGCCGCUUGGGGAUGAGCCUGCGUCCUAUUAGUUAGUUGGUGAGGUAACGGCUUACCAAGGCGAUGAUAGGUAGGCGGCCUUAACGGGUGGUCGCCCACACUGGGAUUGAGAUACGGCCCAGACUCCUACGGGAGGCAGCAGUCGAGAAUAGUCUACAAUGGACGGAAGUCUGAUAGUGCGACGCCGCGUGAACGAAGAAUCCCUUCGGGGUGUAAAGUUCUUUUAUACGUGAGCAGUGUCCUUUAUAUUAAUAGUAUAAGGGGAGAGAUAUUAGCGUAUGAAUAAGCAACGGCUAACUCCGUG